UAUCCAGUUACGUGGUUCUCUCCGCGCGUACGACGUCCCACAGUGGUGUGCACAGUGAAAGACAUGUCAUCGGUGUUAUUCUAGCAGUCAUAUUUAAUGACACUAUGUAAAAUAUGCUACAGUGAUGCGUAGACUGUGUGGUGCAACUUAUACAAUGAUGGCUAGGUUUUUUUUUUUUUUGUUAUUUUAGAAGUGUAUUUUGGUGUGAUAUGCAACGGAUUGCAUUCUUCCGAUCUAACCUUCCAGGCGUACAUGUCUCAAUUAUUUAAUCACUGCCUUCAGUGUUGGGGCUACAUAGCAUCAGAUGGUAAGAUGACUGAUGAAAUGGUGAACUGAAGAGGAUUUGGAAUGAAGCAGCAAAGCCUAGUCGAGGUACUAUCCGUGCAUUUGCCUGAGGAACUGAGAAAGAUUAUGAAAAACGUAUGACAGCUGGUGACCCAGCCAAGACUCGAUGGCAGUUCUAGCAGCAGCGCAGGAGUUCUCUGCAAACAGGAUUCAUGGGCUGAUACAUCAGUGGCAUGCUUGCCUCAAGACCCAUGGGGACUGCCUUCAAUGGCCUGCACUCCUUUCUCCAGAAAAAUUACUGAAUGAGUUUCAUAUGUAUGUUCUAGCAGUUUGCAGUACUUUUCAUUUUGUUUUGUCAAAAAUGAAAAAUGAAAAUCAGUGUUCAAGAAAAAGAAGUUUAUGGGUAAGUACAAGAAGGGCAGUAUUGUCUUCAAUUUACCGUAAUAUUUGGACCCAAUAUGGAAUACCUAUUUUAGUGACGUGCCUACAAUUUCAAGUGCUUCUGAUUAUAGGCUUGGGCCACACGAGCGCACGAAGUACGCCCGUUGUAACGAACAUACUUUAUGAC
This is a long non-coding RNA of Cryptotermes secundus, 853 nucleotides long. RefSeq lists it as uncharacterized. Lineage: Eukaryota; Metazoa; Arthropoda; Insecta; Blattodea; Kalotermitidae. The transcript is spliced from 3 exons. The record is from RefSeq and is a predicted model, not a curated record.